AUGCUGGACUUGUUGGCUGUCCCAAAUCCAGGUGAAGAGCUCUGCAGAAAUUACCUGAGGACUGAAUAUGGCACUUUUGCCAAAUUAGGAGGACUCGGCCAGGAGAUUGUGCCAUCCUGGGUGGAUGGAGGAUGGGGGAAAGGCACAAUGCUGUCCAUAACCAUUACUUACUGGGUAAGUAACUUACUGGGUAACUUCUGCUGCACCACACGGACCAAGGGGCUCUCGGCAGUGAGUUUGCGGCUGGAUGUGGUGCUGAUGUUGUGAGGCUGUGGGGUGCUGAGCCACAGGGAGGGCUGGGCAGUGCGGGAUGGUGGUUCCUGGUUCUCCAGUGCAGCCAGGGCAGUGACUCACCAUGUAGUGAGUCAUUGGAGCUAUUUCAGAGUGUGAUUUCAGAAGAACUACUUGGCUUUCAGGGUUUUCCAGUGGAGAACAAGUGUCUCCUUCCUGCAGGAAAGCUCCAAUCCAUUCUUCAUAGUUGUCUGAGCCUCCUUGAUCCAGGUGCCAGCAGGAGGACACGUAGUUUUAGGGUGAGAACUCACCGCUGUCAGCGGUGGUGGUACUUGAACAAAUGAUGUUCGUGGGCAAGUGAUGUGAGGCCAGAAGUCUGAAAACAUGAGUCUAAAUUAGUCAGACUGUACUGAGGCUACCUAUUUAUGUGUAUCAUUUCUGGAAAAUCUGUGUGUAUAAUCAAAUCCUAGAUUUACAGGUUGUGUGUCCUAUGUCAAUGCUGAGCUGCAGACGAGUCCUUGGAGCAACCAAACAAGAACUGCAAGCAAGGAGUGUAAUCAGAGUGAUUUUCCUCUUUCAGCAGGAGGAGGAGCUGGCCCUGCAUUACACUUAAAAUGGAGUUUGAUUCCGGGUGAUGGGUCAGUGGUGAUGAUAUUGCUCAGAUAAAUGCAGGAAAGGAAGGACUGCCCAUCUGAGCUGACCAUGUGGGAGACGUGAGGCCCGGCAGUGCCAGUGUUCAGGUAGGUGGGGCUGGCGGACUUCACCUGGCGCUCAUGAGACUGGGUCAAACGUGAUGGAUGCUUCACAUGGUAAGGUGGGGGCUUAUUGUCCACAAGCUGGGUUCAGGGAAAAACUUUCAUGUGAGGAGAAACUGAAGAGUCUGGUCCAGCUAAUAAGUGAGAUAAUUAAUAAAGGAAAUAUAAUAGUGUAUCA
RNAcentral lists this long non-coding RNA (1164 nucleotides) under Anser brachyrhynchus (Pink-footed goose). Its description in RNAcentral is "lncRNA (ENSABRG00000002185.1)". The record is from RNAcentral. Lineage: Eukaryota; Metazoa; Chordata; Aves; Anseriformes; Anatidae.